GAGACUCUGUGCGCGUGCAUAUCAAUAAGCGGAGGAAAAGAAACUAACAAGGAUUCCCUUAGUAACGGCGAGUGAAGCGGGAAGAGCUCAAAUUUGAAAUCUUCAAGGGUUCUACCUUUACGAAUUGUAGUUUAAUAGAAGUGUUUUCUGUUAGUAGAGUGGCUAAAAGUUCUUUGGAAUAGGACAUCAUAGAGGGUGAGAAUCCCGUAUUUGGUCAUUUUUCUAGCUGUGUGAUACACUUUCAACGAGUCGGAUUGUUUGGGAAUGCAGUCCAAGAUGGGUGGUAAAUUUCAUCUAAAGCUAAAUAUUGGCGAGAGACCGAUAGCGAACAAGUACCGUGAGGGAAAGAUGAAAAGAACUUUGAAAAGAGAGUUAAACAGUACGUGAAAUUGUCAAAAGGGAAGCGUUUGACACCAGUGUUGUUUUUCCGAAAAUCAAUUACGAAUGUUUUGUUUUUGAGGAGUUAUGACUUCAUCGGCUUGCUUCUCUCUUUAUGAAACUUUCUUAAUGCACUUUUCGGUUAACAAGUCAACAUCAAUUUCUUUUGUUGUAAAAGGGUAUGAGGAAGGUGGCUUUCUUUUCGGAGAAAGUGUUUAUAGCCUUGUACCUCUGCAAUCGGAGAGAUUGAGGUCUGCAGCGUAGAUCCUUCGGGGUUAGAUACAUUUGUGCUAAGUUAUAGCUUUUCAUAGACAACUUGUUGACUAUAUUUAGUCUUGUAGCUUACUCGCUUAUGCUAUUUUACCUACGCUUAGGAUGUUGACAGCAGUAUAGACUGU
This 776-nucleotide ribosomal RNA is filed under the name uncultured Neocallimastigales. RNAcentral describes it as "partial large subunit ribosomal RNA". It matches the Rfam family "Eukaryotic large subunit ribosomal RNA", at positions 23 to 640 of the family's 3401-position model. The record is from RNAcentral. Lineage: Eukaryota; Fungi; Neocallimastigomycota; Neocallimastigomycetes; Neocallimastigales.